AAUGAACGUUGGCGGCGUGGAUUAGGCAUGCAAGUCGUGCGAGAAGUCAAUUAGCUUGCUAAGAGACGGACAGCGGCGAAAGGGAGAGUAACGCGUGGUUACGUACCCAGAGGACCAGGAUAGCGUUGGGAAACCGGCAGUAAUACUGGAUAAUAUCUUUGGAUCAAAUGGUGUGAUUCCGCCUGUGGAUCGGACCGCGUACUAUUAGCUUGUUGGUGGGGUAAUGGCCUACCAAGGCUGCGAUGGUUACCGGGUGUGAGAGCAUGGCCCGGCUCACUGGGACUGAGACACUGCCCAGACACCUACGGGUGGCUGCAGUCGAGAAUCUUCGGCAAUGGACGAAAGUCUGACCGAGCGACGCCGCGUGCGGGAUGAAGGCCUUCGGGUUGUAAACCGCUGUCAGUUGGGAGGAAAGGCCUGUGAAGAGCAGGCCCUGACCGAUCUUCAGAGGAAGGACGGGCUAAGUUCG
Molecule: ribosomal RNA, 469 nt
Filed under: uncultured Planctomycetaceae bacterium
Lineage: Bacteria; Pseudomonadati; Planctomycetota; Planctomycetia; Planctomycetales; Planctomycetaceae
Description: bacterial SSU rRNA
Rfam family: Bacterial small subunit ribosomal RNA
Source: RNAcentral